AAGAAAGCAGUGUGGGCGCUCGGCGUGGCCAUGCCCCCGCCUCGCCUCUCCCUCGCCCUCCCCUCCAACAUGUCACUGCCAUAGUGGACCCGUCCUACGCUCCCCUCACGUUGCCCGCCCCCACCCCAGCCACCGUCGCGCCGCCCCGUUCUCCCCAUCCUCAGCACUCCGCUACACGCCCGCCGCAGCCCGACGCCCCGUGCUCGACGACUCCCCCUCCAUCCUCUCGCCGAGGCUGCCCUCGUCCUCCCCCACACCCACUGCAUCGCCCGAAUCUGCGCUCGCGAUGUCUUCACUUCCCCUCGCGCCGCCGUUUCCUCUGCAUCACUAGCCAUGUCGCCGACUUGCCUAGGACGGAGCCCGUCCGACCAACCAUGCCAGGCACCACGCCGUCCCCUCAGCGUCGUCCUCUCCACGGUGUGGUCGGCCGUCUCGAAGCCCUCGCGUCCCCUAGCCCAUGCACCCGCCUCGGAUGCCCCAACUGCCCAAACGCCAUGCCCCCGCCUCACCGUCCCCUCUGCGCAGCCGCGCAGUCGAGGUGCGACCGACCGUGGAGGAGCCCUCGCGACCCCUAGCCCAACCAGCCAUGGGCCCCCAUCGUUUCCCCUUCCGCGCAGCCAGGGCCCCAAAUUUGGCAAUGCACCAUCCCCCCCAACAAUCGUGCUCGAUCUGGCAAUUGCGUGCAUGAUAUCCGCCGCUGAUUUGGAAAGCGCACGAUCUACAACGAUGAUUUGGAAAGUGCCUUGCCAAACGAUUCCAACACAAAUCCCCCAAAUCGUGCACCCAUCAUCAUUAAAAAGGUCGCAAUUGCCAGACUGCUACAACCAUCCUACAGCUACGGAAAUCCUUCGCUCACACUCCUCCAGGUGAAGACAGUUACCUUCCCUUUGCAAUCCAACCAUAUAUAGAGAUCAACGUCAAAAGGAACCUCAGGCUUUGUAAACGACUAACUUAAAUCGGCGAGGUUCAGGAAGCAUAUUUGAGACGUUGCGGCUCGGCAAACCGCUUAUCGUCGUCAUAAACAAGGAUCUGAUGGACAAUCACCAGAGCGAACUAGCAGAAGAAUUGGCUGAAAGGAAGCACCUCUUCUGUGCACGCCCACAAACACUGGGAGAGACCAUCCGAGCGAUGGACCUGGAGACGCUGGUUCCUUACGAGCCAGGGGAUGCCAAGCCAGUCGUCGCCCUGAUCAACAGGUUUCUUGGCUUCCCAGUUGGUUGACAAACAAACCAUGAGAUACCUCCAUUAAGGCGUCAGUUCCUGUACCUGUUUGAUGUAAAAUGAAUUAACUGGCAUGGAAACAACAAGACUGUCCUUGAUUGUUGCAGUUGGGUUUAAUUAGGGGGGCGUCCAUUCGUUGUUCUUGUCAUGCCCGCCCUUGACACGAGAAGACAAUAGUAUUAAACUUGUCAAUUUCUGGAAUGAUGUGUGGUUGGAUGGCAUCGCUGAAGCCAAUAAUACUUUAAGAUCGUGAGAGGCCCGAAGAAGACGGAAGUCACGUCACCCUUUUUCAUAGUUCAAUAGUCAGGGCAGUCAAUAAUACCAGGGCUUGAUUCAAGAAGGUGCAAAGCUGCUGGUCAGGGCAGCGAGCGUUAAGUUGGAUGCUCGUGUUGUCGAUCAAGUGGAAGAGGAGAACGAUGAUACAGAGAACUAAAAGUUUGGUAUAGUGAUCAGCUUUCUGGUGGAAGCCCGACGAGGAUUGUCUACUUCUAGAUCUUGGUCGUAUAGCUUUGUUCUACUUCUCUUGUGUUGCUCUUGUUCGAGUAUAAGGUCUACAAUGACAUAAUGCUUGUACCAUCUUUUUUGUGGUAACUUAUUUUUUCUCAUGCAGUGCAUGUGACUUGAAACUUUGUUAGGACAUAGUUUGUGAAAGGGAAAAUGGACCCAACAUUUCCUAUAGUC
Long non-coding RNA from Zea mays, 1902 nucleotides. RefSeq lists it as uncharacterized. The record is from RefSeq and is a predicted model, not a curated record. Lineage: Eukaryota; Viridiplantae; Streptophyta; Magnoliopsida; Poales; Poaceae. The transcript is spliced from 3 exons.